Molecule: ribosomal RNA, 468 nt
Filed under: uncultured beta proteobacterium
Lineage: Bacteria; Pseudomonadati; Pseudomonadota; Betaproteobacteria
Description: bacterial SSU rRNA
Rfam family: Bacterial small subunit ribosomal RNA
Source: RNAcentral
GGAGGACACUAGGGAUCGCAAGACCUUGCGCUCUUUGAGCGGCCGAUGCCUGAUUAGCUAGUUGGUGAGGUAAAGGCUUACCAAGGCGACGAUCAGUAGCUGGUCUGAGAGGACGACCAGCCACACUGGGACUGAGACACGGCCCAGACUCCUACGGGAGGCAGCAGUGGGGAAUUUUGGACAAUGGGGGAAACCCUGAUCCAGCCAUGCCGCGUGAGUGAAGAAGGCCUUCGGGUUGUAAGCUCUUUCAGCCGGAACGAAACAGUCACGGCUAAUACCCGUGACGACUGACGGUACCGGAAGAAGAAGCACCGGCUAACUACGUGCCAGCAGCCGCGGUAAUACGUAGGGUGCAAGCGUUAAUCGGGAUUACUGGGCGUAAAGCGUGCGCAGGCGGUUUUGUAAGUCAGAUGUGAAAUCCCCGGGCUUAACCUGGGAACUGCGUUUGAAACUACAAAGCUAGAAGGG